Molecule: non-coding RNA, 400 nt
Organism: Biomphalaria pfeifferi
Lineage: Eukaryota; Metazoa; Mollusca; Gastropoda; Planorbidae
Source: the annotation of a GenBank genome assembly
AUAUUUUAUUCAAAUUAUUUAUUUCACCCCAAUGAUAAAUUUCAUUGGUUUAAUAAACAAAAGUAUCAAAAACAAAAUACGUCAUUAUAUAUAAAUGCAAAUGAUAAACAAUGAAAGUAAAAAUUUGCUGCAACUAAAAACAUGAAUUUUCAAGUUGUACUAUUAAUGGAGAAUGCAGUUAACUUGGUUUCAAUGAGGGACGUUGCUUAACGUACUAACCAAGUUAUGUUUUUGAAUAGUACCAACUUAACUGUUUCUACAAAUACUAGAAACUUAUAUUGAAUGGUUUAAUAAUGCUAUCCAACAAAUUAAAGUUGUAACACACAAGUAAAACAAAUUUUAAUAAGUUUUAUACAAUUUUAAAUCAACUGUUCAGCAACAGUAAUUUAGCAUUAUCAAA